This is a long non-coding RNA of Gadus chalcogrammus (walleye pollock), 4658 nucleotides long. RefSeq lists it as uncharacterized. The transcript is spliced from 3 exons. Lineage: Eukaryota; Metazoa; Chordata; Actinopteri; Gadiformes; Gadidae. The record is from RefSeq and is a predicted model, not a curated record.
GGACGAAACGCGGACAUAGUAGUCAGCUACCAGGAGGCAGUAACCUGUUAGUUGUCUGUAUACAAUCUGCAGUAUGGAGGACAUGAUGCACACUCCUCCAGUGAUGAAGAGGUUGGUCAGCACGUCAAACUGUGGCAUGACAACCAAGGCCAGGACGGAGGCUCUUGCAGUUUGGCGGCACAAAGCUCUUGAACAUCACCCUCCACAGGGACUUGAUGAACACCAGCACAUUGGGGAACACCAGGCAGAACACCAACAUCAGCAUGAAGAACUGCUGCUCCUGGGCACUGCGCAGUGAGUACGGACUGGAGAGCACAGUGAGUACCAGGAGAGAUCCCUGAUGGGAUAGAAAGCACAAGCAGAGGACAUCACUGAAGUGGGGCGCAGCAUAACAGUGUAGUGGUAAGGAUGCUUGAUACUCAGGGUCAAACCAAGAUGCCUGCAAUCCACCUGUUGGCGUGCUCCUAGAUAGCAAGACGCCUAGACCUCCUACAUGCAUCUAUUCAACAUUCUCUGUACGCCACUAUUGAUACAAGUCUGCUUAGUGAGUCAAUAGUAGGCCUGCUGUUAAGACGACCCUCUGAGUUAACACAAAGGACAUUCCACUGACAUGGGAGAAGAAGGAUCUCCAUGCAUGGAACAAGGGUAGAGACGUGCCUACGUCAUUGUCACUGUGGGGGUUUGAGUCGGUCAGGGUCAUCCAUGUACCUCGUAAACUUGUUAAACACCUUGAUAAUUAAUUAAAAAACAAAGAUUUUAACAGAGAUUUUUAACAAACAGGUGUGGAACCGUGUUACCCUUUUGACCAAACCCUUGACAAUAAAGCAAUCUAAGAUUACCGAUAAUCUGCAUGUUGUCAUGUUGAAAGUGGAAAGAGAUUGAUAAGAAGGGUGUUAUCUCCCCAACAUGUUAAGUUACAAGCUACAAGUUGUUUUGGUUUUCUGUACAUCUUGCUACUUUGCUAUUUGGAUGUGAGUCUGUGUUACAGGCAUUCAAUUAGCACUUAGAAUUAAUCUACUACAAAAACACACAGUAUACAGACACAUUCAUAUGGCUAUCGCUGUCUGGUGGUAUAUACAUUAACCAAGAACAAAGGACCUUGUAACUCUAUAAAGUUUGUUUUCUGCUUUCUGUCAAUUUCAUGUGAGCUGGUUUAUGCUAGAGAUGUGAAACUUGGUAUAGAUGUUGAAAAUAAAUUAGGUAUUUAUGUUGCCAUGGCCAGUCUUAAAAAAUAAACCAUUUUCAGAUUAAAAAUAAUUUAAUCAAUCUAUAAAAACAGUACGUUUGGGUUAGUUCAAGUCGAUGCUACAUAGCAGUUUUCAUGCUGAUUGGUGAAAUACUAUAGGAAGGGCUUUGAGUUUGUCCUGACUAUUUCAUCUGCCAUGUACAUAUUUGUGACCCUAUGCAUUUGCAUUCUGCAUCACAUUUGACACACAACUUCAACAGGGGUAUCUAUCAGAGGGUAUGUUAUUUAGUUUGAACCCUAACGUUAGCCAACCACUAACUAUUUAAGUUAUAGUCCCACCAACUAAUCAUCAUUAUAUCUGAUCACACACACAGCAUGUCUGGUCAUGAUUUGGCCUUUAUCUCUGCAUCAUGACAGGGCAUUCUCUGCCAACGCUCCCACACUCUGGAACAGCCUACCACUCCACUUCCGCUUUGCCCCAUCCCUGCCCAUGUGGAAAAACCACCUCAAAACAUUCCUUUUCACAAAGUCCUUUGACCGCGAAUUUUUGCGACUGAUAGAAUCACCAUAGUACACACACUGAAAACAGAAUUUUGCACCCACAAGUUUAGCCUUCAGCUAGAGAACCUUACUUUCUGCCGAUUGACAGCUUGCAUAACCGAUCGACACAUCCACUGACUUCUGGCUAGUCUUACUGAAGCUCAAAAUGGGCCCAAACAUAUUCCUCCGGUAACGUCGCCAUGCCAACGCCGACGUUGGCUGCAACAGGUCGUGGACAUCCAUCGCCCCUAUGUCCUGCUGUUUGUUCACGUAUCUGAAUCUUUAAUGGAUCACUCUUUAAUGUAUUAUGCACAUGCUGAGCUUCUGAAUAGACCGGUGUAUGCUAUGUAUGUAGAGCGCCGGAUUUCUGUGCUCGCACUCCAAAUCCGUGAAUGACACCUGGAUUAAUUAAUGAUUGAACCAGGCUUUUCCACUGUCUAAGACCGUGUGUAUAAUAUAAAAUCGAAUGUCUGACUGAGGUGAUGCUGUGCUGUAUGAAGGGUAAAUGCAAUAGGAACGUAUGGAGAUGGCUAUAGGUGGAUGGAUAGGGAUAUGGAUGGAUACCUUGGAUAUAACAGCACUGGCCAGGACUGCAAUGCCCACUAUGAUGGCCACCAAGUACUGGGCCAGUUCGAAACAUGUCCUCUUGCUCUCCUUCUCAGAUCCAACCGGGUUCAACUGGAAUGGAUCCCAUGUAUCCCUGGAACCAAAACAGAUGGAUACAAUGAACAUACACGGCUGCAAGCCACACAAACACACUCUCACACACACACACACACACACACACACACACACACACACACACACACACACACACACACACACACACACACACACACACACUUACGCAAAGUCGGUUUGUUUCCCCUUGUAGGAUUUUACCUUGCCAAGUGUCUCUCUCUCUCUCAGACAAACACAUAACACCUGGAUUACAUGGCAUGUCAUCAUGUCAUCAAUCUUGAAAACGGCUGCUCUACUUGCUGGCUCAACACACUAGUGCGCUAGCCAUGUAGGACAUAAACCCCCUUUUAGCGACCCAGGUUAACAUCUGAUGAACGCGGAUUGGUCACCACUGAUCAUCAUAAUAAAAAAAGGUGUUAAGAUAAGGAAAUUAGACAUAUAGUUUGGGAAUUGGUCUUUGACUUCAACGUCACGACCAGUGGCGGCAGGUUAGGUUGUAUAGAGAAUUAGUAGCAAGCUGUGUGCACGUACUGCUGGCGUGAUAUCAGCAUAUUAAUCCUAGGGUGCAUGCUUCUAUCUGGAUUAGUUGCUCUGUCAACAAUCAUCAUACAAAACAUAGAUAUUGAUAUUGAGGCCCCUAAGUGGUUCAAUACAGAUACAGUUUGAAAGGACAAAUGUUUAGGUUUAUUCUAUAUUACACUAAGUAACCCUAGUCGAGGUUUACAGAAUCCGCAAAACCACACAUAUUAUGCUGAUCUUUAGACUGGCUUUGCUUUGGUUUAUACAGCCAAGCAAAUUCAAAAAUCUUUCACUUUUAUAAUCUCUGGGUGUAGUCCUAGCAAUACAAAUAAACUAAUUAUGUGGGACAUGGGUAAGUAUUUAUGGUAUUUCAAGUAAUAAACUAUGUAAAUACAGUGAUUGUUUCAGAGACUGCAAUAAAGAGAGUCAAAACAGAGGACACUGACUGGGCAAAUAAAAAGCUAAACUGUGCCUAUACUAGUACUAAUAACUAAUGGGAUUAUUCAACACUAACUCUAACCCUAUUUAAGAAGCUAUGCUUUUAUUUUCUGACAUAAACUAUAAAUGCUAAUGCUGGGGGUUGCCUAGCAAGCUGAAUCUUUCGCUCUAAAUAACAAAAAAUAUCUCUGUUAAUUUUUUUGCACCACACACGGUUCUAUUUUCUAUUAAUUUUGAGUAUAAUUUACAUUUUCUGAGUACAGCAGUUACUCACAAUGAGAUUGACACGUACAACUUUUUGACACAAUGCAGUGUAAGAACGUAGGAAUAGUUAUUGUUAUUUAAACAUUUAAAAAACGCUUCAGAAAUUCAGGGAAAACAACAAGGACAUCUCUUCCUUGUAGAAGAUUUGUAAACAUACAUGUGCCUGGCCUCCCUUUUCUUCGCUCGUUCAUCCAUCUUGCUUCAAAUGAUAUGGCUCUUGUUACCUAUCAUAUAAACACACAGGACAUCAGGAAAUGAUCAUCUUAAAAAUAACACAUAUGAUCAAUAGUAAUACUAGGGAACAUUAAUUAACCAAAACAACCAAAAACAAUACAAACCUCACUUAAUGUUCAAAUGCCCGGUGGUUUGUUCCAUUCAGCGACUCCCACCAAAGUCGACUGAUCUUGAGUAGAACCUUUAAUCCUUGACCCAGGUCCGUUCGACUCUGUGCUUACUGCCUUGUGAUCCUGGAAAACGAAUCCUCAUCCUUCUGAUUGUUUGUGGCCAAGGGGCAAACCAUAACUACGUCCAACACAAGACAUGGGAAGAUAACAACUACAGUGUGUGUGUGUGUGUGUGUGUGCGUGUGUGCGUGUGUGCGUGUGUGUGUGUGUGUGUUAGUGUACACAUGUGUGUGUGUGUGUGUAUGUGCGUGCAGUGCGUGUCCAUGAGGGUGUGUGAUAGAUGGUGCAGAUAUCAAUUGCAUGCUUUAUGGGGGUUAUAAGUGAGUACAAGAGUCCUCUAAACAUGCAGUCAUCGAACCUGCACCACAUACACACACACCUAGACUGUUCAAUAAAUAACUGAUGUAAAUCAAUAUAAAGAUAUAAAACAAAGGAAAUCAUUUGAGUAAAAAACAAUCCAAACACAAUUUGAAUGGCAAAGCUACAACCAAAGUAAGGGACUGAACACAAUUUAUAUUUUUGUCUUCAUACCUUGUGGUAAAGGUCAAAGCAUUUACCGUGGGUAAAUGCUGUGGGGUUCCAUGACAAUUGUCGUGGCAAUUUCUUUGUGUCUGUCUAGGACAGAU